This 505-nucleotide ribosomal RNA is filed under the name uncultured bacterium. RNAcentral's name for it is "partial 16S ribosomal RNA". It matches the Rfam family "Bacterial small subunit ribosomal RNA", at positions 28 to 507 of the family's 1533-position model. The record is from RNAcentral.
GACGAACGCUGGCGGCGUGCCUAAUACAUGCAAGUAGAACGCACAGUUUAUACAGUAGCUUGCUACACCAUAGACUGUGAGUUGCGAACGGGUGAGUAACGCGUAGGUAACCUGCCUGGGAGCGGGGGAUAACUAUUGGAAACGAUAGCUAAUACCGCAUAAUAUUAAUUAUUGCAGGAUAAUUAAUUGAAAGGUGCAAUUGCAGCACUACCAGAUGGACCUGCUGUGUAUUUGGUAGUAGGGGAGGUAACGGCUCACCUAGGCGACGGAACAUAGCCGACCUUGGAGGGUGCACGGCCCACACUGGAACUGGACCCCGCCCCGACUCCCUCCGGAGGGCGCAGUAGGGAAUCUUCGGCCAUGGGCGGAAGUCUGACCGCGCCCCGCCGCGUGGGGGAAGAAGGGUUUCGGAUCGUAAAGCUCUGUUGUACGAGAAGAAAGGGUGUGAGAGUGAAAAGUUCACACUGUGACGGUACCUUACCAGAAAGCGACGGCUAACUACGUG